This 101-nucleotide ribosomal RNA is filed under the name Amphilophus citrinellus (Midas cichlid). The record is from RNAcentral. Lineage: Eukaryota; Metazoa; Chordata; Actinopteri; Cichliformes; Cichlidae.
GUUUACAGCCUGAUCACAUCUGAGCUCCUCUGAGCUAGCAGGGUCGGGCCUGUAUAGUACUUGAUGGGAGACCAACGGGGGAUAACAGGUGCUGUUUGACC